UACGGGGGGGGUAAGCGUUGUUCGGAAUUACUGGGCUUAAAGGGUGCGUAGGCGGCCAAGUAAGUGAGGUGUGAAAUCCCUCGGCUCAACCGAGGAACUGCGCUUCAUACUGCUUGGCUUGAGGGAGACAGGGGUAAGCGGAACUGAUGGUGGAGCGGUGAAAUGCGUUGAUAUCAUCAGGAACACCGGUGGCGAAAGCGGCUUACUGGGUCUCUUCUGACGCUGAGGUACGAAAGCUAGGGGAGCGAACGGG
This 253-nucleotide ribosomal RNA is filed under the name uncultured bacterium. Its description in RNAcentral is "partial 16S ribosomal RNA". It matches the Rfam family "Bacterial small subunit ribosomal RNA", at positions 524 to 776 of the family's 1533-position model. The record is from RNAcentral.